AUCUCCACGUUCUCGCACCGGCGCUGGGGUGCAGGCUUUCAGUGGUCUCAGGGCUACGGCUUGUCGGUGCCUCGCCGCACAGUCCCCUUUGCAUUGAAGGACACGGUCUUACGGUGUAGGAGCAUUUUUGAGGUGCAUUCCUGGAUUUGGAGGCGAACCCCCAAUGGUUACCUCCACAGAGGCUUUGCGAAGGGCGCUCACUGACUUAGGUGAAGAGCGAAGGCUCAAGACUGUGCCGCUUUAUAGUGGCCCCUUGACGUCCAGAAGUUCCCCCCAGCGCCGGUCAUAAGCACUCCCGCCGCCUGGGCCCCGCCCUGCCUGCCAGGCGCCCUCCAGCCUCAGCUCCCGGACGCCCGGCGUGGCCGCUUUCUCGCGUCUUGCUGACCCGGGCCGGGGGCGUGUGCUCCUCCUGCAGCGGACGGAAGAUGCUGGGCCACGCAAGUUUCCCUGGGCUUGGUUAACCACCCCAAAGCCCAUUUCCAGAAGGAAAGGGUGUUGAGGAGGAGGGAUAGAAAGUCGAGAAGAGGGCCGGAGAUGAGAUCUUGCUCUGUCACCCAGACUGGAGUGCAGUGGCACGAUCAUAGCUCACUGCACCCUCAAACUCCUGGACUCAAAUCAUCCUCUACCUCUGCCUCCAUGAGUAACUGGAACUACAGGUCAACACAGAUUCUCGGAAUUAAACACUUCCAUGUCCCAGAGGAUCAAAGUCACUUGCAAAAAUACCUCAAAAUGUGUUUGUCAAGAAAUUACACUUUCUCUUGAUUUUGUGGACCACUUUCUAAUUUCCAACCCAGACAAAAGCCUCCUAGUGAAGCUGGUCUUUCCUAGCACAUCCCCCUACCCCCCCAGCCACUGUCCCAUCCCUGGAUGGCCUGUCCACAGAGAGCACUGUCUGUGUGGCCACUGGGGGAGGCAGCUGCAUCCCAGAGAUGAUGGUGUCCAGGGCAUGACGAGGAAGCUCUUUGUGUGGCCUGGAGACGUCCCGGGAGCUGGCUGGCGCCCACCUUCUCUCACUUCCUUACCACCUUCUUUCUUGUGUUGCUGCUUUCUCCUUCCCAGCUCUAAACUCCCAUGGUGCUGGAGCAGCCAGAGAAGAAGUGUUACUAGACCUGCCACUGCUACCUACAGUGAGCCCCAUUCUGCACACAGAGGCUGCGGACUCCUUUUUCCCAAUCAUAGACCAGAAUGCUUGUGAAAGAAGAUGUGGCUGUUCUGCAGGUUGGAGCUCUAGGAUCGGAAGAACUCAUCUGUAUCACAUAUGAUCCAGCUGAAAGUCCCUACAAACUGGGCCCUCUGUGUCUUUAGAAGCAGCUUCCAAGGGCAGGAAGACUUCCAGAGUGCAGGACUGAGCGUGCUGCUAAUCUUGUUCUGGUCGAGAGACUGAUGAGAGAGACAAGAAUUAUGGCGCGAGAAAAGCAGCAGCAGCAGCAGCAAGUCUGCAGAGGGGAAUGCCAAACUCGCUACUGGGUGUUUUUUUUUGUUUUGUUUUGUUUUGUUUUGUUUUGUUUUGUUUUGUUUGAUACAGAGUUUCACUCUGUCACCCAGGCUGGAGUAGAGUGGUGCCAUCUCAGCUCAUUGCAACCUCUGCCCCCUGGGUUCAAGCAAUUCUCCUGCCUCAGCCUUCCGAGUAGCUGGGAUUAUAGGCAUGUGCCACCAUGCCUGGCUAAUUUUUGUAUUUUUAGUAGAGACAGGGUUUUGCCAUGUUGGCCAGGCUGGUCUCAAACUACUGACCUCAAGUGAUCCGCCCGCCUGGCCCCCCAAAGUACUGGGAUUACAGGUGUGAGCCACCAUGCCUGGCCUGCUGUGAUUUUUCAUUGAACCUAAUUAACUCAUUUUUAGCCCCUAUUUUUGGUACAAUAAUAGAACUUAGGUUGUAAUCAACUGGUGGGUUCUUUCCGCACACUGCACAGAUAAGAUCAGUCCACAGAGACCACAGCGUUGCAGUAAAGAAAGAGUUUGAUGUGAGGCCAGCCACGUGGGAAAACUGGAGUUAUCACUCAAAUCAGUCUCCCCAAAGGCUUGGAGGUCAGGAUUUUUGUGGACAAUUUGGUGGGCAGGGAGCUAGGGAAUGGGUGUUGCUGAUGGGUAGGGGGUGAAAUCAUAGGGGUGUGGAAAACAGUCCUGAUGUGCUGAGUUUUCCUCUGGGUGGGGCCACAGGACCAGCUGAAUCAUGAAUCCAGGUGGGGCCAGUGUGAAGAACGUAUCAAAAAAUCAAUCUUAGGUUCUACAAUAGUGAUGUUAUCUAUAGGAGCAAUUGGAGAAGUCACAAAGCUUGUGACCCCUGGCCACAUGACUCCUGGGCAGUAAGAGAUUACUAUGUCUACAUUUUAGCAGAGUUCAUGCCUUUCCCACAACUCUAAUCUUGUAGCCCUUCAUUAAUCUUACAAAGGCGGUUUUCAGUCCCUGAGCAAGGAGGGGUUUAUUUUUGGGAGGGACUAUUAUCAUCCUUUAUUUCAGGUUAAACUAUAAACUAGAUUCCUGCCAAAGUUGGCUUGGUCUACGUCCAGGAAUGACAAGGACAGCUGGGAGGGCAGAAGCAAGAUGGAGUCAAUUAUGUCCAAUUUAUCUUACUGUCAUAAUUUUUCAAAGGCAGUUUCAAGGUUACUAUUCUCAUGAUUCAACACAUCCUCAAGGAGUGAGAUUCAGUCUGUGUAAGUGUAUCAUGACUUUCUAUAACACGCCUUGUCAUGCACUCUUCUACCCUGCUAGAAUUGGAGUCUGGCCUCAGCUGGUUCCUACCAGCAGUACUGCCAUCACCUCAUCCUCAUCUGCCCCAUCUGUUGUUUUGGAACCACUUGUGUCCUCUGAAAUGCAUAUGUUGAAGUCCUAACCACCUGUGCCUCAGAAUGGGACUAUGUUUGGAGAAAGGGUUUUAAAGAGGUACUUAAAGUUAAAUGAGAUCAUUACUGUGAACCCUGAUCCAAAUUGACUUAUGCCCUUAUAAGAAAAGGAAAUUUGGCCACUUACACUCACAGAGGAAGAAAUCAUUUGAAGACACAGAGAGAAGAGGGCCGAGGAGAGAGGUCUCAGAGAAACCAACCCAAUGACAUUUCGUCUUGGAUUUCCAGCCCCCAGAAUUACUGGAAAAUACAUUUUUCUUGUUUAGGCCACCCAAUCUGUACUACUUUGUUAUGGCAACCCUAGCAAACUAAUGCAGUCACCAACCCAGGGUGAAAAUGGGACAUUCCCAACUCUAGCUCUUAGGCCAAGCUUAUUUGUAAUAGAUUCUUGUUUUCAAAGGAUAUAGAUAUUGAGAUUCUCAAUGUAUUUGUUAAAAUACAUUGUUUCUUGUUAAAAGCAUAAGACUUUGAAAUGUCUCUGUGUUGCAGAUAUGUAGAUGUUCUGAGCCAUAAUUUUUGGAAAAUUCUUUCAAAGAAAAGGAAAUCUACUGGACAAAUAGCAUGAUUAAUGGGGAUCUAGUGACAAAAUAAUCUGCCCUAAUUGGAUUUGUGAUGUUUUUGCAACUUGAAAUUAGCUUCAAAAUCCAACAAUAAUACGAAAGAAUGUUCAGUAUCACGAAUCAAAUUAAAACCAUAAUUAAAUCACCUCCUUUCAUUAGGGUAGCUACUAUAAAAAAAAAGUAAAACAAAACAGAAAAUAGCAACUGUCGGCAAAGAUGUGGAGAAAUUGGAACCCUUGUGAAACCAUCCCACAGUGUUGACAAGAAUUGCAUGCUGGGUUCUGGACAGAAAUAGUUCCAAUUAAGUACUAAUCAGUCUGCACUUGGGCCCACUUACUCGUUGUUAAAAGUCAUGUAGCCCUGGAUGCUGACCAUGUACAUCUGCAUUGUUCCUAUAGAUAAGAUCUCUGACAUUAGAAUCAUAAGGCUUUUGUUUAAGGAUCACUUAUGAUGUUUUUCACACCCCAAAUUCCAGCAGCCAGUUUGAAGACUCCCACAGAGUAAUGGGAUCAAUAUGAGAAUACAGCUUCUUCAUCUCCCUAUCUCAUGACUUCACCCUCUACUCUUCCAACCAAUCAGUGAUCUCCACAUUGCAGCCCAUUCCAACACUCUUAAAAACCCCUACCCCCAAAUGCCUCAGGGAGACAGAUUUGAGGUUUCUUCUCAUCUCAUUUAGUGACCCUAUGAUUAAACCC
RNAcentral lists this long non-coding RNA (4095 nucleotides) under Homo sapiens (human). RNAcentral describes it as "PCMTD1 divergent transcript (PCMTD1-DT)". Lineage: Eukaryota; Metazoa; Chordata; Mammalia; Primates; Hominidae. The record is from RNAcentral.